RNAcentral lists this ribosomal RNA (465 nucleotides) under uncultured bacterium. Its description in RNAcentral is "partial 16S ribosomal RNA". It matches the Rfam family "Bacterial small subunit ribosomal RNA", at positions 339 to 795 of the family's 1533-position model. The record is from RNAcentral.
CUACGGGGUGCUGCAGUGGGGAAUAUUGCACAAUGGGCGCAAGCCUGAUGCAGCCAUGCCGCGUGUAUGAAGAAGGCCUUCGGGUUGUAAAGUACUUUCAGCGGGGAGGAAGGGAGUAAAGUUAAUACCUUUGCUCAUUGACGUUACCCGCAGAAGAAGCACCGGCUAACUCCGUGCCAGCAGGCCGCGGUAAUACGGAGGGUGCAAGCGUUAAUCGGAAUUACUGGGCGUAAAGCGCACGCAGGCGGUUUGCUAAGUCAGAUGUGAAAUCCCCGGGCUCAACCUGGGAACUGCAUCUGAUACUGGCAAGCUUGAGUCUCGUAGAGGGGGGUAGAAUUCCAGGUGUAGCGGUGAAAUGCGUAGAGAUCUGGAGGAAUACCGGUGGCGAAGGCGGCCCCCUGGACGAAGACUGACGCUCAGGUGCGAAAGCGUGGGGAGCAAACAGGAUUAGAUACCCCCGUAGUC